UACGUGGGGGGCAAGCGUUGUUCGGAAUUACUGGGCGUAAAGGGCUCGUAGACGGCCAACUAAGUCGGAUGUGAAAUCCCCAGGCUCAACUUGGGAACUGCAUCCGAUACUGGAUGGCUUGAAUUCGGGAGAGGGAUGCAGAAUUCCAGGUGUAGCGGUGAAAUGCGUAGAUAUCUGGAGGAAUACCGGUGGCGAAGGCGGCAUCCUGGACCGACAUUGACGCUGAGGAGCGAAAGCUAGGGGAGCAAACGGG
RNAcentral lists this ribosomal RNA (253 nucleotides) under uncultured bacterium. Its description in RNAcentral is "partial 16S ribosomal RNA". It matches the Rfam family "Bacterial small subunit ribosomal RNA", at positions 524 to 776 of the family's 1533-position model. The record is from RNAcentral.